AUUGUAGUCUGCAACCCGACUACAUGAAGCUGGAAUCGCUAGUAAUCGCGAAUCAGAAUGUCGCGGUGAAUACGUUCCCGGGUCUUGUACACACCGCCCGUCACACCAUGGGAGUCGGAAAUGCCCGAAGUCAGUGACCCAACCGUAAGGAGGGAGCUGCCGAAGGUGGAGCCGGUAACUGGGGUGAAGUCGUAACAAGGUACC
RNAcentral lists this ribosomal RNA (204 nucleotides) under uncultured bacterium. Its description in RNAcentral is "partial 16S ribosomal RNA". It matches the Rfam family "Bacterial small subunit ribosomal RNA", at positions 1297 to 1500 of the family's 1533-position model. The record is from RNAcentral.